This 72-nucleotide transfer RNA is filed under the name Candidatus Magasanikiibacteriota bacterium. RNAcentral describes it as "tRNA-Asn". It matches the Rfam family "tRNA". From Rfam's summary of the family: Transfer RNA (tRNA) molecules are approximately 80 nucleotides in length. Lineage: Bacteria; Candidatus Magasanikiibacteriota. The record is from RNAcentral.
UCCGAGAUAGUUCAGUGGUAGAACGCCACGCUGUUAACGUGGAUGUCGCAGGUUCAAAUCCUGCUCUCGGAG